Long non-coding RNA from Salvelinus namaycush (lake trout), 548 nucleotides. RefSeq lists it as uncharacterized. The record is from RefSeq and is a predicted model, not a curated record. The transcript has 4 exons. Lineage: Eukaryota; Metazoa; Chordata; Actinopteri; Salmoniformes; Salmonidae.
UUUUGUCAAUUUUGUCUCGCCUCUGGUUUUGCCGGUAGAAUGACUUUCAUGUGUAUCUCAUCGCCCCAUGUUAUCACUUUCUGCAACAGGAACGACGACGGGCAACACGCGUCAUGCUUGUCAUGUGAUCUAUAUCGUUCACUGUAAUUGGCAGCGAAGGAAGGAUAUUUCCGGCUACAUAGCAGGAUGUUUGGUUGUGAGGAACGACGUUCCAAAAACAAACUUGUGCAGAGGGCGAGAGACAGAAUCAAGAAAGAUGGCGAGAUGACUAACCGCAUUGCAGAGCUGGACAGGUCCGUAGAGCAGCACUGCAGGCCCUCCUGGAGCAUGAGAGACAGCAGUACGUCAUAGAGCUCAACAGACUGGGCAAGACCAUCUACAAACAGAGAGUCAAGACUCUAGUCUCCACUAGACCCAUAACAACACCAACGACCAUCUGAAGUUUAUGCUGAAAGCCAUCUAGCAGCUAGGAUGUGUGAACAACUAUAGAAUACUUUGAAGUAUUAAUGUGAAAACAUUUACUCACAGCCAUCUACAAGCACCUUGUU